This 468-nucleotide ribosomal RNA is filed under the name uncultured bacterium. RNAcentral's name for it is "bacterial SSU rRNA". It matches the Rfam family "Bacterial small subunit ribosomal RNA", at positions 355 to 825 of the family's 1533-position model. The record is from RNAcentral.
CGGGGAAUAUUGGACAAUGGGCGCAAGCCUGAUCCAGCCAUGCCGCGUGCAGGAUGACGGUCCUAUGGAUUGUAAACUGCUUUUUGUACAGGAAGAAACAGUUCUACGUGUAGAACCUUGACGGUACUGUAAGAAUAAGGAUCGGCUAACUCCGUGCCAGCAGCCGCGGUAAUACGGAGGAUCCAAGCGUUAUCCGGAAUCAUUGGGUUUAAAGGGUCCGUAGGCGGUUAGAUAAGUCAGUGGUGAAAGCCCAUCGCUCAACGGUGGAACGGCCAUUGAUACUGUCUGACUUGAAUUAUUAGGAAGUAACUAGAAUAUGUAGUGUAGCGGUGAAAUGCUUAGAGAUUACAUGGAAUACCAAUUGCGAAGGCAGGUUACUACUAAUGGAUUGACGCUGAUGGACGAAAGCGUGGGUAGCGAACAGGAUUAGAUACCCAAGUAGUCCCUGAGCGGGCUGGCAAGGCGCAU